GACGAACGCUGGCGGCGUGGAUUAGGCAUGCAAGUCGAACGGUAUCAUCCUUUCGGGGGUGAGAGAGUGGCGAACUGGUGAGUAACACGUAGGUUAUCUACCCUCAAGACGGGGACAACCCAGGGAAACUUGGGCUAAUACCGGAUGUGAGCAACUUUUAGUUGUUUGAAAGGUGGCGUAAGCUGUCGCUUGGGGAUGAGCCUGCGUCCUAUUAGUUAGUUGGUGAGGUAACGGCUCACCUAGGCAAUGAUAGGUAGGCGGCCUUAACGGGUGGUCGCCCACACUGGGAUUGAGAUACGGCCCAGACUCCUACGGGAGGCAGCAGUCGAGAAUAGUCUACAAUGGUCGGAAGACUGAUAGUGCGACGCCGCGUGAACGAUGAAUCCCUUCGGGGUGUAAAGUUCUUUUAUAUGUGAGCAGUGCUUCUUAUAUUAACAGUAUGGGGAAGAGAUAUUAGCAUAUGAAUAAGCAACGGCUAAACUCCGUGCCCAGCAGCCGCGGUAAUA
RNAcentral lists this ribosomal RNA (506 nucleotides) under uncultured bacterium. RNAcentral describes it as "bacterial SSU rRNA". It matches the Rfam family "Bacterial small subunit ribosomal RNA", at positions 28 to 525 of the family's 1533-position model. The record is from RNAcentral.